This 366-nucleotide ribosomal RNA is filed under the name uncultured organism. RNAcentral's name for it is "bacterial SSU rRNA". It matches the Rfam family "Bacterial small subunit ribosomal RNA", at positions 526 to 896 of the family's 1533-position model. The record is from RNAcentral.
CGGAGGAUCCAAGCGUUAUCCGGAAUCAUUGGGUUUAAAGGGUCCGUAGGCGGUUUGUUAAGUCAGUGGUGAAAUCUGGUCGCUCAACGAUCAAACGGCCAUUGAUACUGACAGACUUGAAUUAUUGGGAAGUAACUAGAAUAUGUAGUGUAGCGGUGAAAUGCUUAGAUAUUACAUGGAAUACCAAUUGCGAAGGCAGGUUACUAUCAAUAUAUUGACGCUGAUGGACGAAAGCGUGGGGAGCGAACAGGAUUAGAUACCCAGGUAGUCCACGCCGUAAACGAUGGAUACUAGCUGUUGGGAGCAAUUUCAGUGGCUAAGCGAAAGUGAUAAGUAUCCCACCUGGGGAGUACGUUCGCAAGAAUG